CAAGUUGAACGAAGAGAUGAAGGAGCCUUGCUCCUUCAAUCGAGUGGCGAACGGGUGAGUAACGCGUGAGGAACCUGCCUCAAAGAGGGGGACAACAGUUGGAAACGACCGCUAAUACCGCAUAAGCCCACGGCUCGGCAUCGAGCAGAGGGAAAAGGAGCAAUCCGCUUUGAGAUGGCCUCGCGUCCGAUUAGCUAGUUGGUGAGGUAACGGCCCACCAAGGCGACGAUCGGUAGCCGGACUGAGAGGUUGAACGGCCACAUUGGGACUGAGACACGGCCCAGACUCCUACGGGAGGCAGCAGUGGGGAAUAUUGCACAAUGGGGGAAACCCUGAUGCAGCGACGCCGCGUGGAGGAAGAAGGUCUUCGGAUUGUAAACUCCUGUUGUUGAGGAAGAUAAUGACGGUACUCAACAAGGAAGUGACGGCUAACUACGUGCCAGCAGCCGCGGUAAAACGUAGUCACAAGCGUUGUCCGGAAUUACUGGUGUAAAGGGAGCGCAGGCGGAGACNNAAGUUGGAAGUGAAUCCAUGGGCUCAACCCAUGAACUGCUUUCAAAACUGUUUUUCUGNAGUAGUGCAGAGGUAGGCGGAAUUCCCGGUGUAGCGGUGGAAUGCGUAGAUAUCGGGAGGAACACCAGUGGCGAAGGCGGCCUACUGGGCACCAACUGACGCUGAGGCUCGAAAGUGUGGGUAGCAAACAGGAUUAGAUACCCUGGUAGUCCACACCGUAAACGAUGAUUACUAGGUGUUGGAGGAUUGACCCCUUCAGUGCCGCAGUUAACACAAUAAGUAAUCCACCUGGGGAGUACGACCGCAAGGUUGAAACUCAAAGGAAUUGACGGGGGCCCGCACAAGCAGUGGAGUAUGUGGUUUAAUUCGACGCAACGCGAAGAACCUUACCAAGUCUUGACAUCCCUUGACGAUGCUGGAAACAGUAUUUCUCUUCGGAGCAAGGAGACAGGUGGUGCAUGGUUGUCGUCAGCUCGUGUCGUGAGAUGUUGGGUUAAGUCCCGCAACGAGCGCAACCCUUAUGGUCAGUUACUACGCAAGAGGACUCUGGCCAGACUGCCGUUGACAAAACGGAGGAAGGUGGGGAUGACGUCAAAUCAUCAUGCCCUUUAUGACUUGGGCUACACACGUACUACAAUGGCGUUAAACAAAGAGAAGCAAGACCGCGAGGUGGAGCAAAACUCAGAAACAACGUCCCAGUUCGGACUGCAGGCUGCAACUCGCCUGCACGAAGUCGGAAUUGCUAGUAAUCGUGGAUCAGCAUGCCACGGUGAAUACGUUCCCGGGCCUU
RNAcentral lists this ribosomal RNA (1303 nucleotides) under uncultured bacterium. RNAcentral's name for it is "bacterial SSU rRNA". It matches the Rfam family "Bacterial small subunit ribosomal RNA", at positions 58 to 1382 of the family's 1533-position model. The record is from RNAcentral.